This 85-nucleotide microRNA precursor is filed under the name Chlorocebus sabaeus (green monkey). RNAcentral's name for it is "miRNA (ENSCSAG00000025792.1)". Lineage: Eukaryota; Metazoa; Chordata; Mammalia; Primates; Cercopithecidae. The record is from RNAcentral.
UAUAUCGGUUGGUGCAAAAAUAAUCGCGGUUUUUGCCAUUAUUUUCAAUGCAAAAACCACGAUUACUUUUGCACCAACCUAAUAU